Molecule: ribosomal RNA, 489 nt
Filed under: uncultured bacterium
Lineage: Bacteria
Description: bacterial SSU rRNA
Rfam family: Bacterial small subunit ribosomal RNA
Source: RNAcentral
UCCUGGCUCAGGAUGAACGCUGGCGGCGUGCCUAACACAUGCAAGUCGAGCGGAGAUAAGUGAAGCCUAGCGAUUCUUAUCUUAGCGGCGGAUGGGUGAGUAACACGUGGGUAACCUGCCCUGUACUGGGGAAUAACAGCUGGAAACGGCUGUUAAUGCCGCAUAUGCGCACGGAGCCGCAUGACUCCGGGCGGAAAGAUUUAUCGGUACAGGAUGGGCCCGCGCCGGAUUAACUAGUUGGCGGGGUAACGGCCCACCAAGGUGAUGAUCCGUAGCCGACCUGAGAGGGUGACCGGCCACAUUGGGACUGAGACACGGCCCAAACUCCUACGGGAGGCAGCAGUGGGGGAUAUUGCACAAUGGGGGAAACCCUGAUGCAGCGACGCCGCGUGAAGGAUGACGUAUUUCGGUAUGUAAACUUCUAUCAGCGGGGAAGAAGAUGACGGUACCCGACUAAGAAGCCCCGGCUAACUACGUGCCAGCCGCGGC